UUGCUCACUUUGGUAGCACAUAUACUAAAAUUGAAAUGCUACAGAGAAGAUUAGCAUGGCCUCUGUGCAAGGAUGACAUGCAAAUUUGUGAAGCAUUUCAUAUUUUU
Molecule: small nuclear RNA, 107 nt
Organism: Chlorocebus sabaeus (green monkey)
Lineage: Eukaryota; Metazoa; Chordata; Mammalia; Primates; Cercopithecidae
Source: Ensembl